Molecule: ribosomal RNA, 253 nt
Filed under: uncultured bacterium
Lineage: Bacteria
Description: partial 16S ribosomal RNA
Rfam family: Bacterial small subunit ribosomal RNA
Source: RNAcentral
UACGUAGGGGGCUAGCGUUGUCCGGAUUUAUUGGGCGUAAAGAGCGUGUAGGCGGCCAGGUAGGUCGGUUGUGAAAACUGGAGGCUCAACCUUCAGAGGUCGACCGAAACCCCCUGGCUAGAGUCCGGGAGAGGAGAGUGGAAUUCCUGGUGUAGCGGUGAAAUGCGCAGAUAUCAGGAAGAACACCCGUGGCGAAAGCGGCUCUCUGGAACGGUACUGACGCUGAGACGCGAAAGCGUGGGGAGCGAACAGG